RNAcentral lists this long non-coding RNA (216 nucleotides) under Brassica rapa (field mustard). RNAcentral describes it as "long non-coding RNA (BRAP_LNC005904)". The record is from RNAcentral. Lineage: Eukaryota; Viridiplantae; Streptophyta; Magnoliopsida; Brassicales; Brassicaceae.
AGAGAUGUUGUUGUUGCUACGUAAAGUAAAAGAGAAGAAUAUGUGGUCGAAGGAGGAAAAGAACCUACACUGGAAGUGGAAGAGAAGAUAAGUGGUGACAAUGGUCGAAGAGAAGAUGGCGGCGUCGACAAAACAAUCAUUAAUAGUGAUGGUGACAAUAAUAUGAUUGAGGUGAAUGAAGAAGAAAAACAAGAAAAAAACAAGAAAAAAUGAGCG